Molecule: long non-coding RNA, 409 nt
Filed under: Homo sapiens (human)
Lineage: Eukaryota; Metazoa; Chordata; Mammalia; Primates; Hominidae
Description: HSALNT0310314
Source: RNAcentral
CCCGCCCCCCGGCCCCAACAGAAGCCCUGAUUCACAUAUUUAGAGAAGAAAUAAUCUCAAUCCUACACCAACUCUCCCAGAACAUGAAGGAGGAGGGAUACUUCCCAACUCAUUUUAAUUUAUAUUUGACUUACCCUGAUGCUAAAGCCAGUCUAAGACAUUACAAGGCAUUGCAUUCUGGUGGAACAACUGAUGCCACCCAGACUUGUGACCCCCACCCAGGAACUGACAGAGGCACAGAGACAGUUUUGAUAACCCUGUGGUUUCAUCCCUGACCAAACCAAUCAGUAUUUCCCAUUCCCUAGCUCCCUGCCUGCCAAACUAUCCUUAAAACCCUAGCCUCCGCAUUCUCUGGGAGGCAGAUUUGAGAAUUGUCUCAUCUUCUCGCUUGGCUGGCCUUGCAAUUAAA